This 204-nucleotide unclassified non-coding RNA is filed under the name Hevea brasiliensis (rubber tree). Lineage: Eukaryota; Viridiplantae; Streptophyta; Magnoliopsida; Malpighiales; Euphorbiaceae. The record is from RNAcentral.
CGACACUAGGACUUGAGUUAGCAUAAGGCUUUCGAAGCUCGUAGCAAGUCUAACUAUUUCUAGUCUAAACAUAAAGCCCAUAAAUAUAGUUUAAUUUCAAGAAAUCAAACAAACAGAGUUUGACUUUAAAUUGGAUUAUCUAAUGGGGAGUUUUAAUUUAAUCGAUCUAUAUAAACUAGUAAAACAACAAUACGAGGAGAUCAG